RNAcentral lists this microRNA (21 nucleotides) under Corchorus olitorius. RNAcentral describes it as "hsa-miR-1234-". Lineage: Eukaryota; Viridiplantae; Streptophyta; Magnoliopsida; Malvales; Malvaceae. The record is from RNAcentral.
GGGGGGGGGGGGGGGGGGAUG